GACCUCAGAUCAGGUGAG
Molecule: ribosomal RNA, 18 nt
Filed under: Frankliniella occidentalis (western flower thrips)
Lineage: Eukaryota; Metazoa; Arthropoda; Insecta; Thysanoptera; Thripidae
Description: partial 28S ribosomal RNA
Source: RNAcentral